UGGGGAAUUUUGGACAAUGGGGGAAACCCUGAUCCAGCCAUCCCGCGUGUGCGAUGAAGGCCUUCGGGUUGUAAAUCACUUUUGGCAGGAAAGAAACGUCAUGGGUUAAUACCCCGUGAAACUGACGGUACCUGCAGAAUAAGCACCGGCUAACUACGUGCCAGCAGCCGCGGUAAUACGUAGGGUGCAAGCGUUAAUCGGAAUUACUGGGCGUAAAGCGUGCGCAGGCGGUUCGGAAAGAAAGAUGUGAAAUCCCAGAGCUCAACUUUGGAACUGCAUUUUUAACAACCGGGCUAGAGGGUGUAAGAGGGAGGUGGAAUUCCGCGUGUAGCAGUGAAAUGCGUAGAUAUGCGGAGGAACACCGAUGGCGAAGGCAGCCUCCUGGGAUAACACUGACGCUCAUGCACGAAAGCGUGGGGAGCAAACAGG
RNAcentral lists this ribosomal RNA (429 nucleotides) under Acidobacteriota bacterium. RNAcentral describes it as "Acidobacteria bacterium partial 16S ribosomal RNA". It matches the Rfam family "Bacterial small subunit ribosomal RNA", at positions 355 to 776 of the family's 1533-position model. Lineage: Bacteria; Pseudomonadati; Acidobacteriota. The record is from RNAcentral.